RNAcentral lists this transfer RNA (74 nucleotides) under Polaromonas sp. Its description in RNAcentral is "tRNA-Gly". It matches the Rfam family "tRNA". From Rfam's summary of the family: Transfer RNA (tRNA) molecules are approximately 80 nucleotides in length. The record is from RNAcentral. Lineage: Bacteria; Pseudomonadati; Pseudomonadota; Betaproteobacteria; Burkholderiales; Comamonadaceae.
GCGGGUGUAGUUCAAUGGUAGAACGGCAACUUCCCAAGCUGCAUACGAGGGUCCGAUUCCCUUCACCCGCUCCA